CCGGCCGUUAGCUCGCCCUCUCCCGCAGCCCCGCCCCCUCGCGCCGGCCGUUAGUUCGCACUCUCCCGCAGCCCUGUCCUUUCGCGCUGGCCGUUAGUUCGCCCCUGGGUGCACGCAGCUGCUUCGGGCCGGUCUCUGCCCAAGCGGGGAGGGCGGGGAAGGGCAGGGUGGUGGAGGUUUCCUGCACCUCUCCCGGCUAGUGCGCAGUUUUUUCAUUGCUUUCGCCCUGGGAGAACAAAGGAGACUUCGUAAGACUGCAGGGUGGCUUUGCUGCUGGUCGUGCGCUGUCCUCGGCUAAGCUCCGGGCCUUGAGUAUUUGUAUCUGUGAGACAGCCGGAGGUGCUGGCAGACCUACCUGCUGUAAUCGCACAAAGAAAAUCCUUUGAAGCAGUUUUGAAGGAGAGAAGUCCUGUAUAUCAGGCUGACUUUGGUGUCUCCGUGCCUCCUGCAAUAUGAGGUACAGCAUGUGGCAGAUGAUAGAACAUGCUUAUCACCAUAGAAAUCUCACAAGGAACGGCUCGCAGAGAAGUAUCCUAGUCUGUGGUUCAGUUACUGGAGUGAUACUUCACAGUGAUUUG
This 578-nucleotide long non-coding RNA is filed under the name Apteryx rowi (Okarito brown kiwi). RNAcentral describes it as "lncRNA (ENSARWG00000008800.1)". Lineage: Eukaryota; Metazoa; Chordata; Aves; Apterygiformes; Apterygidae. The record is from RNAcentral.